AGAGAGAGACAUGCGCGCAUAUCAAUAAGCGGAGGAAAAGAAACUAACAAGGAUUCCCUUAGUAACGGCGAGUGAAGCGGGAAGAGCUCAAAUUUGAAAUCUUCAAGGUUUUACCUUGACGAAUUGUAGUUUAAAGAAGUGUUUUCUGCUGAAGUUUUGGUAAAAGUUCUUUGGAAUAGGACAUCAUAGAGGGUGAGAAUCCCGUAUUUGACCAUUAUUUUCAGCUUUGUGAUACACUUUCAAAGAGUCGGAUUGUUUGGGAAUGCAGUCCAAAAUGGGUGGUAAAUUUCAUCUAAAGCUAAAUAUUGGCGAGAGACCGAUAGCGAACAAGUACCGUGAGGGAAGGAUGAAAAGAACUUUGAAAAGAGAGUUAAACAGUACGUGAAAUUGUCAAAAGGGAAGCGUUUGACACCAGUGUUGUUUUCCCUCGAAAAUCAAUUAAAAAUGGCUCGAUUUUGUAUUGUUGAGACCUUAAAAGCUCACUGUACAUUUUUCGUGUCUUUUUUUAAUGCACUUUUCGUUUAACAAGUCAACAUCAGUUUCUUUUGUUGUAAAAGGGUCAUUGGAAGGUGGCUUCCUUUUCGGAGAAAGUGUUUAUAGCCUUUGGCCUCUGCAAUCGGAGAGACUGAGGUCUGCAGCGUAGACUCUUCGGGGUUAGAUACAUUUGUGCUAAGUUAUAGCCUUUUUAUAGACAACUUGUUGACUAUAAUUAGUCUUGUAGCUUACUCGCUUAUGCUAUUUUACCUACGCUUAGGAUGUUGAAGAUGUAGCACAUCAU
This 778-nucleotide ribosomal RNA is filed under the name uncultured Neocallimastigales. RNAcentral's name for it is "partial large subunit ribosomal RNA". It matches the Rfam family "Eukaryotic large subunit ribosomal RNA", at positions 23 to 635 of the family's 3401-position model. Lineage: Eukaryota; Fungi; Neocallimastigomycota; Neocallimastigomycetes; Neocallimastigales. The record is from RNAcentral.